UAGUGUUACAGCUCUUUUAGAAUUUGUCUAGCAGGCUUUCCAGUGCAAACCGGAAAAAA
RNAcentral lists this small nuclear RNA (59 nucleotides) under Capra hircus (goat). RNAcentral's name for it is "U7 small nuclear RNA (ENSCHIG00000003645.1)". It matches the Rfam family "U7 small nuclear RNA". Rfam says of the family: Animal histone pre-mRNAs are spliced by a different mechanism than nuclear pre-mRNAs and self-splicing introns. This processing involves the U7 snRNP, which contains only one RNA species: U7. The record is from Rfam by way of RNAcentral. Lineage: Eukaryota; Metazoa; Chordata; Mammalia; Artiodactyla; Bovidae.